Molecule: ribosomal RNA, 333 nt
Filed under: Unio crassus
Lineage: Eukaryota; Metazoa; Mollusca; Bivalvia; Unionida; Unionidae
Description: partial large subunit ribosomal RNA
Rfam family: Eukaryotic large subunit ribosomal RNA
Source: RNAcentral
UACUAACAGGAUUCCCCUAGUAACGGCGAGUGAAGAGGGAAAAGCCCAGCAUCGAAACCCACAGCCUUGCGCUGUCGGGAACUGUGGUGUAUAGGAAGCCUACUUGUCGGCGUGUUCGGGUACCCAAGUCCUCCUGAUGUGGCCUCUCCCAUAGCGGGUGUCAGGCCCAUAGAGGCACCCCACGGCAUCAGCUUGUACUUCCUCGGAGUCGGGUUGUUUGGGAAUGCACCCAAAGUGGGUGGUAAACUCCAUCUAAGGCUAAAUACUGCCACGAGUCCGAUAGCAAACAAGUACCGUGAGGGAAAGUUGAAAAGAACUUUGGAAAGAGAGAGA